UACGUAGGGUGCAAGCGUUGUCCGGAAUUACUGGGCGUAAAGAGCUCGUAGGUGGUUUGUCGCGUUGUUCGUGAAAACUCACAGCUCAACUGUGGGCGUGCGGGCGAUACGGGCAGACUUGAGUACUGCAGGGGAGACUGGAAUUCCUGGUGUAGCGGUGGAAUGCGCAGAUAUCAAGAGGAACACCGGUGGCGAAGGCGGGUCUCUGGGCAGUAACUGACGCUGAGGAGCGAAAGCGUGGGGAGCGAACAGG
Molecule: ribosomal RNA, 253 nt
Filed under: uncultured bacterium
Lineage: Bacteria
Description: partial 16S ribosomal RNA
Rfam family: Bacterial small subunit ribosomal RNA
Source: RNAcentral